Molecule: ribosomal RNA, 410 nt
Filed under: uncultured bacterium
Lineage: Bacteria
Description: bacterial SSU rRNA
Rfam family: Bacterial small subunit ribosomal RNA
Source: RNAcentral
UGGCGGACGGGUGAGUAACGCGUGGGUAACCUGCCUCACACAGGGGGAUAACAGCUGGAAACGGCUGCUAAUACCGCAUAUCCCGAUAGUACCGCAUGGUACAGACGGAAAAGAUUUAUCGGUGUGAGAUGGACCCGCGUCUGAUUAGCUAGUUGGAGGGGUAACGGCCCACCAAGGCGACGAUCAGUAGCCGACUUGAGAGAGUGAUCGGCCACAUUGGGACUGAGACACGGCCCAAACUCCUACAGGAGGCAGCAGUGGGGAAUAUUGCACAAUGGGGGAAACCCUGAUGCAGCGACGCCGCGUGAGUGAAGAAGUAUUUCGGUAUGUAAAGCUCUAUCAGCAGGGAAGAUAAUGACGGUACCUGACUAAGAAGCCCCGGCUAACUACGUGCCAGCAGCCGCGGUAAU